GAUUAAGUUAUUAAGGGCGCACGGUGGAUGCCUUGGCACUAGAAGCCGAUGAAGGACGUUACUAACGACGAUAUGCUUUGGGGAGCUGUAAGUAAGCUUUGAUCCAGAGAUUUCCGAAUGGGGAAACCCAGCAUGAGUUAUGUCAUGUUAUCGAUAUGUGAAUACAUAGCAUAUCAGAAGGCACACCCGGAGAACUGAAACAUCUUAGUACCCGGAGGAAGAGAAAGAAAAUUCGAUUCCCUUAGUAGCGGCGAGCGAAACGGGAAGAGCCCAAACCAACAAGCUUGCUUGUUGGGGUUGUAGGACACUCUAUACGGAGUUACAAAGGACGACAUUAGACGAAUCAUCUGGAAAGAUGAAUCAAAGAAGGUAAUAAUCCUGUAGUCGAAAAUGUUGUCUCUCUUGAGUGGAUCCUGAGUACGACGGAGCACGUGAAAUUCCGUCGGAAUCUGGGAGGACCAUCUCCUAAGGCUAAAUACUCUCUAGUGACCGAUAGUGAACCAGUACCGUGAGGGAAAGGUGAAAAGCACCCCGGAAGGGGAGUGAAAUAGAACCUGAAACCGUGUGCUUACAAGUAGUCAGAGCCCGUUAAUGGGUGAUGGCGUGCCUUUUGUAGAAUGAACCGGCGAGUUACGAUUUGAUGCAAGGUUAAGCAGUAAAUGUGGAGCCGUAGCGAAAGCGAGUCUGAAUAGGGCGUUUAGUAUUUGGUCGUAGACCCGAAACCAGGUGAUCUACCCUUGGUCAGGUUGAAGUUCAGGUAACACUGAAUGGAGGACCGAACCGACUUACGUUGAAAAGUGAGCGGAUGAACUGAGGGUAGCGGAGAAAUUCCAAUCGAACCUGGAGAUAGCUGGUUCUCUCCGAAAUAGCUUUAGGGCUAGCCUCAAGUGAUGAUUAUUGGAGGUAGAGCACUGUUUGGACGAGGGGCCCCUCUCGGGUUACCGAAUUCAGACAAACUCCGAAUGCCAAUUAAUUUAACUUGGGAGUCAGAACAUGGGUGAUAAGGUCCGUGUUCGAAAGGGAAACAGCCCAGACCACCAGCUAAG
RNAcentral lists this ribosomal RNA (1046 nucleotides) under Staphylococcus aureus. RNAcentral describes it as "partial 23S ribosomal RNA". It matches the Rfam family "Bacterial large subunit ribosomal RNA", at positions 1 to 1043 of the family's 2925-position model. Lineage: Bacteria; Bacillati; Bacillota; Bacilli; Caryophanales; Staphylococcaceae. The record is from RNAcentral.